Molecule: small nucleolar RNA, 129 nt
Organism: Nycticebus coucang (slow loris)
Lineage: Eukaryota; Metazoa; Chordata; Mammalia; Primates; Lorisidae
Product: small nucleolar RNA SNORA48
Exons: 1
Source: RefSeq, a predicted model, not a curated record
CUUCUCAAAACUGUCAAGGUCUGGUGGUGCCCAUUUUAUAUCAGCCAGGGACAAAGAAACCCCUGGUUUAUCUAUCCCAGAGUGGCUUUUGAUCUGUGCUUAUGCCUGAAUCAUGCCUGGGGCACAUGG